UUCGAAGGUCCCAAGCGUUAAUCGGAAUUACUGGGCGUAAAGGGUGCGUAGGUGGCAGGGAAAGUUCGAUGUGAAAUCUCCGGGCUCAACCCGGAAAUGGCAUUGAAAACUAUCUUGCUUGAGGGUCGGAAGGGAGACUGGAAUUCUCGGUGUAGCAGUGAAAUGCGUAGAUAUCGAGAGGAACACCAGUGGCGAAGGCGGGUCUCUGGACGACACCUGACACUGAGGCACGAAAGCUAGGGGAGCAAACAGG
RNAcentral lists this unclassified non-coding RNA (253 nucleotides) under uncultured Verrucomicrobiota bacterium. RNAcentral's name for it is "uncultured Verrucomicrobia bacterium contains 16S-23S intergenic spacer region". It matches the Rfam family "Bacterial small subunit ribosomal RNA", at positions 524 to 776 of the family's 1533-position model. The record is from RNAcentral. Lineage: Bacteria; Pseudomonadati; Verrucomicrobiota.